GUGCUCACUUCAGCAUCACAUAUACUAAAAAUUGGAAUGAGGCAGAGAACAUUAGCAUGGCCCCUGUGCAAAGAUGACAAAUUCACGAAGCAUUCCAUAUUUUA
Small nuclear RNA from Nycticebus coucang (slow loris), 104 nucleotides. NCBI's taxonomy places the organism in Eukaryota, Metazoa, Chordata, Mammalia, Primates, Lorisidae. The record is from RefSeq and is a predicted model, not a curated record.